Molecule: ribosomal RNA, 460 nt
Filed under: uncultured bacterium
Lineage: Bacteria
Description: partial 16S ribosomal RNA
Rfam family: Bacterial small subunit ribosomal RNA
Source: RNAcentral
CCUACGGGAGGCAGCAGUGAGGAAUAUUGGUCAAUGGGAGAGAUCCUGAACCAGCCAAGCCGCGUGAGGGAAGACGGCCCUAUGGGUUGUAAACCUCUUUUGUCGGAGAACAAAACCCGGGACGUGUCCCGGACUGCGUGUAUCCGAAGAAAAAGCAUCGGCUAACUCCGUGCCAGCAGCCGCGGUAAUACGGAGGAUGCGAGCGUUAUCCGGAUUUAUUGGGUUUAAAGGGAGCGUAGGUGGAUUGUUAAGUCAGUUGUGAAAGUUUGCGGCUCAACCGUAAAAUUGCAGUUGAAACUGGCAGUCUUGAGUACAGUAGAGGUGGGCGGAAUUCGUGGUGUAGCGGUGAAAUGCUUAGAUAUCACGAAGAACUCCGAUUGCGAAGGCAGCUCACUGGACUGCAACUGACACUGAGGCUCGAAAGUGUGGGUAUCAAACAGGAUUAGAUACCCCAGUAGUC